This 1157-nucleotide ribosomal RNA is filed under the name Leuconostoc mesenteroides. Its description in RNAcentral is "bacterial SSU rRNA". It matches the Rfam family "Bacterial small subunit ribosomal RNA", at positions 1 to 1178 of the family's 1533-position model. The record is from RNAcentral. Lineage: Bacteria; Bacillati; Bacillota; Bacilli; Lactobacillales; Lactobacillaceae.
AAAGGGGAUCAGCGGUCGAAAGGGGCACAGGCGGAAAGGUGCUUGCACCUUUCAAGUGAGUGGCGAAGGGUGAGUAACACGUGGACAACCUGCCUCAAGGCUGGGGAUAACAUUUGGAAACAGAUGCUAAUACCGAAUAAAACUUAGUGUCGCAUGACACAAAGUUAAAAGGCGCUUCGGCGUCACCUAGAGAUGGAUCCGCGGUGCAUUAGUUAGUUGGUGGGGUAAAGGCCUACCAAGACAAUGAUGCAUAGCCGAGUUGAGAGACUGAUCGGCCACAUUGGGACUGAGACACGGCCCAAACUCCUACGGGAGGCUGCAGUAGGGAAUCUUCCACAAUGGGCGAAAGCCUGAUGGAGCAACGCCGCGUGUGUGAUGAAGGCUUUCGGGUCGUAAAGCACUGUUGUAUGGGAAGAACAGCUAGAAUAGGAAAUGAUUUUAGUUUGACGGUACCAUACCAGAAAGGGACGGCUAAAUACGUGCCAGCAGCCGCGGUAAUACGUAUGUCCCGAGCGUUAUCCGGAUUUAUUGGGCGUAAAGCGAGCGCAGACGGUUUAUUAAGUCUGAUGUGAAAGCCCGGAGCUCAACUCCGGAAUGGCAUUGGAAACUGGUUAACUUGAGUGCAGUAGAGGUAAGUGGAACUCCAUGUGUAGCGGUGGAAUGCGUAGAUAUAUGGAAGAACACCAGUGGCGAAGGCGGCUUACUGGACUGCAACUGACGUUGAGGCUCGAAAGUGUGGGUAGCAAACAGGAUUAGAUACCCUGGUAGUCCACACCGUAAACGAUGAACACUAGGUGUUAGGAGGUUUCCGCCUCUUAGUGCCGAAGCUAACGCAUUAAGUGUUCCGCCUGGGGAGUACGACCGCAAGGUUGAAACUCAAAGGAAUUGACGGGGACCCGCACAAGCGGUGGAGCAUGUGGUUUAAUUCGAAGCAACGCGAAGAACCUUACCAGGUCUUGACAUCCUUUGAAGCUUUAGAAGAUAGAAAUGUUCUCUUCGGAGACAAAGUGACAGGUGGUGCAGGGUCGUCCUCACCUCCUGUCCUGAGAAAAUUUGGGUUAAAUCCCGCACCAGCGCCACCCCUUUUUGUUAGUUUGCCGCCAUUCUAAAGGGGGCCCCUUCCGAGACUGCCGGGGACAAACCGCAAGAAAGGGGGG